UGAGGAAUAUUGGUCAAUGGGCGCAAGCCUGAACCAGCCAUCCCGCGUGCAGGAAGACGGCGCUAUGCGUUGUAAACUGCUUUUCCAGGGGGAGAAACUUGCGCACGUGUUGCGCAAUUGACGGUACCCUGGGAAUAAGCAUCGGCUAACUCCGUGCCAGCAGCCGCGGUAAUACGGAGGAUGCGAGCGUUAUCCGGAUUCAUUGGGUUUAAAGGGUGCGUAGGCGGACUAUUAAGUCAGUGGUGAAAUCCUGCAGCUUAACUGCAGAACUGCCAUUGAUACUGAUAGCCUUGAGUUUGGUUAAGGUAGGCGGAAUGUGUAAUGUAGCGGUGAAAUGCUUAGAUAUUACACAGAACACCAAUUGCGUAGGCAGCUUACUGAGCCGACACUGACGCUGAGG
This 400-nucleotide ribosomal RNA is filed under the name uncultured bacterium. Its description in RNAcentral is "bacterial SSU rRNA". It matches the Rfam family "Bacterial small subunit ribosomal RNA", at positions 355 to 751 of the family's 1533-position model. The record is from RNAcentral.